AAAUCCUGUUUGAUUGCAGGGCUCCAUUUUGUGGCAGUACUGCCAUUAUCCUGCUGAAAUAAAAUCUUGUGUUGAUCAUUUUUGAUUUUGCCUUCAUGAGGGUAAAAUCGUGACACACUGACAUGGACAAUU
Molecule: small nucleolar RNA, 132 nt
Organism: Artibeus jamaicensis (Jamaican fruit-eating bat)
Lineage: Eukaryota; Metazoa; Chordata; Mammalia; Chiroptera; Phyllostomidae
Product: small nucleolar RNA SNORA69
Exons: 1
Source: RefSeq, a predicted model, not a curated record